CGGGGCGUGGCGCAGACCGGUAGCGCACCUGCAUGGGGUGCAGGGGGUCGUUGGUUCAAAUCCAAUCGCCCCGACCA
This 77-nucleotide transfer RNA is filed under the name Chloroflexota bacterium. Its description in RNAcentral is "Chloroflexi bacterium tRNA-Pro". It matches the Rfam family "tRNA". Rfam says of the family: Transfer RNA (tRNA) molecules are approximately 80 nucleotides in length. The record is from RNAcentral. RNAcentral also lists the same sequence under 1 other name. Lineage: Bacteria; Bacillati; Chloroflexota.